This 158-nucleotide unclassified non-coding RNA is filed under the name soil metagenome. RNAcentral's name for it is "partial internal transcribed spacer 1". The record is from RNAcentral.
CAGAGUUGCAAGACUCCCUAAACCAUUGUGAACCUACCUUCUACCGUUGCUUCGGCGGGCGGGCCCAGCGCCCCCCGGCCCCCCGCGGGCGCCCGCCGGAGGAUACCCAAACUCUUGACAUUAGUGGCCUCUCUGAGUAUUCUUUACUGAAUAAGUCA